GACAGUAGCUAAGGCAGAAUCACACAGAUUUUUGGGUUUUAUUUUGUCUUCUACAGCUUGUUUCCCAGAUUGCGGCUCUAUAGAUGGCACAUAUGAGGACAUUAUUACAGGCCUUCACGGAAUGUUAAUAUGUGCACAGUCACAGGCAUUGUGUUAUCUAUUUUUAAAAAAGAUAAGAGAUUGUGGACCUGUCAAUGUCUUCUGACCUGACUAGUAGCAUUUGAUAAAGAUCCCCUUGCCCUCAGCCAACACCUCUACUGCUCAGUGGACACGUGACCAUAGGUGUCCAUAGGACCUCUCACAUACUAUAGAAUCCGGAAGUGGCUGACCAGGGAGAGUGAUACAAUGAUCUUCUGAAGGUGUAAUUACAUGCCAGUUUGAAGAUGAUACUCUGCCCAGAGAGGACCCUGAAUUAAUGACUAUAUGCUACAAUGUCCCUGAUCAGUGGGCUCUCUAUGAGACAGGGAACCAACGGGUGAAAGUUAGAUUGGCCCCACUUGCUUAGUUAGGAGUGACCAACUUGGAGACCCCUUCUUGUCCCCUCAGUCCUAGGCUUUGGGCCUCUAGAGAUCCUAGUUGUCAAAGACAAGUGCUUCCACUAUGAGGUUUAUUAUUAGUCCCAUUAAACUUUCAGCCACAAAUGCAGUCCAGUUACUAAGGGCUCCUUAGUAGGGAAACAAUUAACACACCUAAGGGUAAUUGAACUUACUCAUAGGAAGGAAAUACACUUAUUUUAUACAAUUGAGUCAGGAAAGAAUAAGUUAAACACCGGAGAUAUCUAUUGUGGGUAUCUCUUAUUACCCCUGACAAAAAUUUUUGGCUUGGCCAAACUUUAGUCAGGCUCCUAAGACUUCUCCUAGGCCCAUCUGUGCACUUCCUUGUAAAAUCCAGUUUUAGCAAAGUACCUGCCAAGUCUGUUUAGCAAGAAGUCCCCACUCUCAAUAUCCGAUCAACCUGGAAAAUCCGACCAACCUGGAGAGCUGAUCCUGAUCAAUCUGAUCAACCUGGAAAGCUGAUCCUGUUCCUCAUCUUCGACUUUCUCCCCAGGUGAUGUCUGAUCAUCCUGCCCUGUCUUCAGCAAGAAUCCUGUUCGGUUGGUUGAACCAGAGUCCCCCUAACCCCUCAUGUUUCCUCUAAGUAGUUCCCCUCCACUGAGCCCCACCCUGCUCCUUAGCUAUAAAUUCCCACUUGCCCAUGCUGCAUUUGGAGUUGAGCCCAAUCUCUCUGCCUUAAUGCAAAAUCUGAUUGCAGUGGUUCCUAUGCCUCUCUCAAUGGUCCCGAAUUAAGUCUGCCUGACCGUGCUUUAA
Long non-coding RNA from Sapajus apella (tufted capuchin), 1307 nucleotides. RefSeq lists it as uncharacterized. The transcript has 3 exons. Lineage: Eukaryota; Metazoa; Chordata; Mammalia; Primates; Cebidae. The record is from RefSeq and is a predicted model, not a curated record.